UGGCUUGCAGAGCUCGGCGCUUCG
This 24-nucleotide non-coding RNA is filed under the name Cricetulus griseus (Chinese hamster). Lineage: Eukaryota; Metazoa; Chordata; Mammalia; Rodentia; Cricetidae. The record is from RNAcentral.